Molecule: ribosomal RNA, 254 nt
Filed under: uncultured bacterium
Lineage: Bacteria
Description: partial 16S ribosomal RNA
Rfam family: Bacterial small subunit ribosomal RNA
Source: RNAcentral
UACGGAGGGGGCUAGCGUUGUUCGGAUUUACUGGGCGUAAAGCGCACGUAGGCGGAUCGUUAAGUCGGGGGUGAAAUCCUGGAGCUCAACUCCAGAACUGCCUUCGAUACUGGCGAUCUUGAGUCCGGAAGAGGUGAGUGGAACUCCUAGUGUAGAGGUGGAAUUCGUAGAUAUUAGGAAGAACACCAGUGGCGAAGGCGGCUCACUGGUCCGGUACUGACGCUGAGGUGCGAAAGCGUGGGGAGCAAACAGGG